RNAcentral lists this unclassified non-coding RNA (290 nucleotides) under uncultured fungus. RNAcentral describes it as "partial contains 5.8S rRNA, ITS2 and 28S rRNA". It matches the Rfam family "Eukaryotic large subunit ribosomal RNA", at positions 668 to 961 of the family's 3401-position model. Lineage: Eukaryota; Fungi. The record is from RNAcentral.
AAGGAGUCUAACGCCUAUGCAAGUGUUUGGGUGUAAAAACCGUACGCGUAAUGAAAGUGAACGUAGGUGAGAGCCUUUUAGGUGCAUCAUCGACCGAUCCUGAUGUCUUCGGAUGGAUUUGAGUAAGAGCUUAGCUGUUGGGACACGAAAGAUGGUGAACUAUGCCUGAAUAGGGUGAAGUCAGAGGAAACUCUGAUGGAGGCUCGUAGCGAUACUAACGUGCAAAUUGUUCGUCGGACUUGGGUAUAGGGGCGAAAGACUAAUCGAACCAUCUAGUAGCUGGUUCCCUC